AUUCUGUUGACGAGUCCCAAAUAGGACGAAGCGCGCGUCCUAGAC
This 45-nucleotide non-coding RNA is filed under the name Schistosoma margrebowiei. Lineage: Eukaryota; Metazoa; Platyhelminthes; Trematoda; Strigeidida; Schistosomatidae. The record is from RNAcentral.